CCAAUGAGAUCGAGGUAAACGGUAGGCGGGUGGCCUUAUCGACGAGUUUAAGCUUGAAUUCACGAAUAGGAGUUCGUAUGAAUUCAUUGCAAGAGCGAAUGGAUGUUAGUCGUGGCUGUAGUAUCAAAGGAUAAAGAGAAAGUAAAGUGGUCUCUGGGAGACACUUGAGUGAUGAAUAGCCACGUGAGGAUUGGAGCUUGAAGAAAUUGCUCUUUUAUGGAUUGAGAUUCGAGAUGUGCUAGAGUGGGCUAUCUCGUGAUGGAGCAAGGAUCUAGUCGAGGAUUGAAGCACUCGUGAUUGGUCGAUGCAUCAACGAAAUUGCUUCUAAGCAAUGCCGGUGAUCGAAUCGGAGUGAAAUUUUCCGAUUGGGUGUAUAAUGCAAAGAGCAGUUCCUUGCAUGGUGGUAAUGCACUUUUGGACUUGCACAUAGCAAAUGUGAAAAUAUCUAGUCUCACAUCCUCCGAGGUGGGCCUUUGAACAGUUCUAAUAAGUGAAAGGCCACUCCGAAGUGGGAAAGUGCAUUGGAAUUUCCGAUUGCUCGAUAAGUCGAGUUAAGGAGUGAUUUGAGUUUCGGGGACGAAACUCUUAUUAAGAAGGGGAGAAUGUAAGAUACCGGAGUUCUAAAAUUAUGAGGUUACGGUGUCCAUUUGGUUGGAGAGCCAUUUGAACGGUUCCGGUGAGGUUGCGGUGUAAUGUAAUAUACCGGAUUUAAAUAUAAAAAAAUAGAAAUAAAUAAAAAUAGUAUGAGAUACUAUUUUUAUUGAAUUUAGAGAAGUGAAAUAUAAGUUGGGAAUGACCUGUGCUGAAAUCGGAAUUAAAACAGAAGAUUUAGAAUUUUCUGUUGGAAACGGGGCAGAUAAAUUAGCAGAAAAUGCACAGUCUCAGAAAAUUAUGAAAAUUGGCAGAGAUGUCAGAAAUAUUUUUAUGAGGCUAGAUUUAAGGUUUCAUAUUUUUCUGACACCCGUAGAGUGAGAAAUAAAAUCCGAAAGCUAUCUGAUAAAGAUUGCAGUUCGGUACAGUUUUCCUUUCAGUGACCAAACGGCGAAACUGAACCAGUGAUCGUCAGCCUUGUUAAGUUAAGUAGAAGACCGAACAUCGAAGAAACAAGGUAGCUCUGUGCGCGAAUUUUACUGUUAGGGGGGGCGGACUGGCCGCCUGAGUAUCUAAGUUGCUGCGAUUUUGGUUCUUAUGAACGUUAACAUUGAUUGUUCAAAAUUUACAACACGGAGAGGGAAAUAAUGGAACAAGUAUAAUUAGGUUUUAACCAUUUAUGGUUCGAGUGAAUGAGAAAAAGUGCUCGUUGCAAAGUUAUACGUUGGGACGCGGGCAACAGAGUAAAGUCUAAUAUUUUUUUCGGUGUUUGGUUCUUGUGAACGUCCACAUUGGAUUCGUUUCAAAUUUAACACUCUACGGCAUAAUAACAAUCAAUAUAUUAGGUUAUACUUGUUCGACUUGAAGAGUAGAAAAAGUGCUCGUCUGCAAAGUGUACUUGUUAGAUGACGGCAACAGAUUAGUCACUAAUCAUUUGCUUCCGCUUUUUGGUUAUUGUGUAACCGUUGACGAUCGAUUCGUUCCAAUUUACACUCUCGCGGCAUCAAGACACAAUAUAAGUUAGCUUUUACUUUUGUUCGAUAGAGAUGAGCAAAAAGCACUCGUUGGCCAUCUUAAAUCUGUUAGGCGGCAACUGAGUAGUCUAAUGUUGUUCGCGGCUUUGGUUUUUGUGAACGUCGACAUCCGAUAUCGUGCAAUAUUACACCUCGAGCAUAAUAGACAAAUUUUAUUAGGGCUUUUACUGCUUCGAUUUGAUAGAAUAAGAGAAAAAGCACGUCGUUGCAAUUUAUACUGUAGGGGGCGCAACUGAGAGCCUAAGUUGUUCCUGGUUUUGUUCAGAUGAACAUUGAACAUCGAUUCUCGAAAAUUACGCUCUCGGGGUGCCUAAAUAAGAACAUAUAAUCUAGCUUGUUUACUCUUUAUUGGUUGAGAUGAGAAAGAAGUACUCCGUUCGAAAUUUGAUACGGUUAGGGGUCGGAAAUGAGUAGUCUUAAUGUUUGUUCGCAUUUUGGUUCUUAUGACGUUAUCAUUGAUUCGUCUCCAAAAUUUGACACUAUACAGGGGCAUAAUAAAAAUAUAUAAGGUUUUAACUUUGUUUUGGCUGAAUGAGAAAAAGGUUGGGUGUAAAGUUAGGAGCUGAGGGGCGCGCACUGGAGUAGCCUAAUGUUGUUUUGUGUUUGGUUCUUAUGAAUAUUGACAUCAAUGGCGUGAGCAGAAUUUACGGCUUUCGGGGCAGUAAUAGAACAAAUAAAAAUUUAGCUUUUACUCUGUUGUUCGAUUGAAAAAAAAAGCACUCGUUGCGAAUUAUACUGUUGAGGCCGGGGACGGCAACUGAUAGUCUAGAUUAUUGUUCCGAUUUUGUUCUUAUGACGUUAACAUUGAUGUCGUCCAAAUUUACCAUCCCAGCGAUGGGCUUUAAUAGAACAUAUACAUUAGGCUUUAACGAUUGUUCGAAUUGAGUGAGAAAUGCUACGUUGCAAAGUUUUUACUGUAGGGGGUGUGAGGGGGGGGGGGGUCGUGGGCGGGGUGGGGCAGCGCGCACACGAGUAUCUAAUUAUUGUUUCCGGUUUUGGUUCUUGUGAACAUUCACAAUCUUUGAUUCUUCCAAAUUUACACUCUAGGGGCAUAAUACAACAAUAUAAUUAAGCUUUUUACUCUAUGUUCGAGCAGAAAACCAUGAGAAAAAGCACUCGUUGCAAUUGUUACAAUUGUUAUGGGCGCAACUGAGUAGUCUAAUGUUGUCCGGCUUUUGGUUUUUGUGAAGCGUCGACAUCGAGUGUCGUUGGCAAAUUAGCACUCUCGGAGGUCAUAAUAGAGGACAAUUUCUAUUAGCUUUACUCUUCGUUCGAUAGAAAUGAAAAAAGCAACUCGUUGCGCAAAUUUAAUACAUAUUAGUCUAAUAUUGUUCCGUUUUUGGUUCUGUGAACAUCUCACAUUGAUUUCGUUCCAAAAAUUUAAUCACUCUAGGGCGCAUAAAAGGGACAAUAUAAUUAAGCUUUUACUCUUGUCGAUCAGAAUGGAAAAACGCACUCGUUUGCCAAUUUAACAAUUGUUAGGCGGCAACUGAGUAGUCUACAUUUGUUCACGGCUUGUGGUGUUUUGUGAACGUCGACAUCGAUAUCGUUGGCAAAAUUACACUCUCGCGGGCAUAAUAGAACAAUUUUAUUACUUUUACUCUUCGUGGGUCGAUAAGAAUGAGGAAAAAGCACAUUCGUUGCCAAUUUAUACGCUAUUAGGGCGCAACUUCGUAGGGGCUUAAUUUUGUUCGGUUUUGUUCUAUGAACAUUGACAAUCGAUUCGGUGCAAAAUUUAUGCUCUCCGGGCUAAUCAGAACAUUACAAUUAGCGUGUGUGCUCUUGGUGCGAGUUGAAUGAGUAAAAAGUCUCGCUGCCAAUGUAUACUGUUAGGGCGCGCAACUGAGUAGUCUAAUGUGCUGGCCGAUUUGUUUCUAUGAAACGUUAACAUUGAUUUGUUCGCAAAUUUACACACCGAAAGGGGAAUAAUGGAACAAUAUACAUUAGGUUUUAAGCAUUUGUUCAGAUGAAUGAGAAAAAGUGCUCGUUGGGAAAGUUAUACUGUAGGGGGGGGCGCAACAGAGUAGUCCUAUAUUGUUUCGGUUUGGUUCUUGUGAACGUUCACAUUGAUGUCGUUCAAAUUUUACAACUCUAGGCGGCAUAAUACAACAAUAUAAUCUAGGUUUUAUACUUUGUUCGAUUGAAAGAGAUAAGAAAGUGCUGGUUGCAAAGUUGUACCUGUUAAGAGCCGCAACAGAUUAAGUCUAAUUAUGUUCCGCUUUUGGUUAUUGGAACGUGACAAUCAGUUCGUUCCAAAAUUACGACUCAUCGCGCAUGAAGAACAAAUAAUAAUUAGCUUAUUUACUUGACUUUUUCGAGUAGAAUGAGAAAAAGCACGUCGUUGCCAAUUUAAAGCGUUAGGGAGGAGGCGUAGUGGGGGGCGCAAUUGAGUAGUCUAAUGUUGUUCCCGGCUGUUGGUUUUAUGUGAACAGUCGACAUCGAUUGUGGCAAUAUUACACUCCUCGGAGCAUAAUAGGAACAAUUUUAUUACUUUUACUCUUCUUCGAUAGAAAGAGAAAAAAGACUCGGUGCCAAUUCAUACUGUUAGGGGGGGAGGGGGGCGGCAACUAGUAGCCUAAUCGUUGUCCGGUUUUGUUCAGAUGGAAUCAUUGACUAUCGAUUCGUCGAAAAUUUACGGCUCUGGCGGGCCCUAAUAGAAGCAAUGAUAAUUAGCUUUUACUCUUUAUUCGGUUGAAUGAGAAAAAGUACUCGUUGCAGCGAAUGUUAUACUGUUAGGGGGGGCGCAAAUAGUAGUCUAAUGUUGUUCCGAUUUGGUUCUUAUGACGUUGACAUUGAUUCGUCCAAAGUGUGAGCGAGCAUAAUGUGUAGGAGGUAACCGGACGUCUAAAACUGUGAAGUUAUGUGUACAAUGAUUUGGGGAAGCAAUUGAAUGGUCCCGUGAGAUAUGUAUACAUAACCAGAUUUUGGUAUAAGGAGAGGAGAAAAAAAAAAAAAAAAAAAACAAAAAAAAAAUAAUAGAUAAAUAAUAAUAGUGUGGAUACUAUUUUAUUGGAUUAGAGAAAUAAAAAAUAAGUCUUAUGAAUGGAGCUUGUGCUGAAAUCGAAUGAAAACAGAAGAUCGCUAUGAAUUUCUGUCAAUCGACAGGGCAGAUAAUUAGCAGAAAAUGCACAUAUCAAAAAUUAUGAAUAAUGGCAGAGAUGUCAGAAUAGUUUUAUAGGCUAGCUAUGAAGUUUAUAAUUUUUCUGACACCGGAGAAAAGUGUUGAAUCAGAUACCGAAAGUAUCUGAUAAAACGAUAUAGUUCGGUACACCGUUCAGUGACCAAACGGGGUCCGACAACUGGAUAAUAUAAAAUUCGUUGAGCGUCGUUCUCCAUGUGAAAACGCGUGAGCCACCUAUCAGAAGUUUGAGCUCAAACGACAUUCAGCGGAGCUUCCGCGAAAGAUAUCAGAUUUAAAAACUUGCCCGGAGGAUGAAUAGUGAUUUGAGGAUGUUGACUUUAUUAGAAGCUAAUUAGGCUUCUUCUCUUCUUUCUCCCACAGCCGCAUGCGCCGGCAAGCAUCACGCACUGGCAUGGGAGGGGAGAGAAACGGCCUUCUCUCUCUCUUAAAGAUCUCUCUCAUCUCUCUAUAUCUCUCGCGCGAGAUCGGGGUUUGGUGGAGAAGAUGUUCGAACUGCGUGGAGGGCGACGGAGGUCGCGAGGCUUCGUGCGGCGCGGUGGAGCGAUGUGUUUUUCGUCGCGGGCGUCACAUUUGGGUAAGCUUUGGAUUUUGUUUAAAUCCUUCAUGAAUGAUGUUCUGAGGUAGUAUCUAGAGGUGCUCUAACUGUUCUCGGUCCAUUUAAUUUGGCAUUAUUGGAGGACGUUAAUUGCAUAUUAUGGUUCAAAUGGAUUUGUGCAAAAUGGUGUGUUUGAUCUCAGAUUUGGACCCUCUUCGUAAACCUAAUUGUUAGGUAACGAAACGCGUUGGCGAAGACGUAUCGGUCGAUUCCGUCGAGGGGGCCACAAGAUAUUAAAGAAAUGGACCGUUGAGGUGUUGUUUCAGCUGUCCUGGAGAGGGCGAAGCGAACGUCGUAGAAAUCAAUGGAAAAUGGAUUUGAGGCAUCGCUGGCACAUAACCGAAAGACCUAUAAUUUUCGGGGAGUCUCUGCAAAGCGAGCACGUUGAGGCGCAGUUGCGAUAUCGGCCGUGCCGGUACAGGAUCCCGGCGGGAGGCCGAUCGGCAAGUGUCGCAAGCAAUCGAAUGCAAUAGCAGGUGAUUGUUGGUCGGGGCCGGGUGUGUUACCGGAAGCGACUUGCCGACAACCGCAGUGCGUUCAAAGCGGAAUCGUGGAACUGAUUGAGAUGCAUAAAUGAAUGUGCCAUAUGAAGCAUGUGAGUUUAUAGAUUAUGAUACAUGUAGGGAGAGCAUGCUAAAGAACAUGAACAUAUUAAGAACUUCAAGUCAUACAAAACUGUUAAAUGUAUGAACAUGUUACACUAGUAAGUUCAUGAUGACAUGUAUGCAGAGCAUCUAGAGAACAUGUGAGAUCAUGUUAGAUAAGGUUAAUGGCUAUAUAUAGAAAUGUUAUGCAAGUUGAGAGAUGAUGUGAAUUGCAUGCUACGGUGGUAAUGUGCAUAGAGGAAGUUGUAUGCAUUAGAGAAUGCAUAGUUAGAGGCAUGCAUAUUAAUUAUUAUGAAAAGAUGCGAGUGGCUUAAAGUAAUAUGAUUAUAGAACUUCGAUAUGGACAAUAGGUAUCGAAUACGAUCGAGUGGCAUGAACGCUAUGCGUCGUGAACUUAGGUGGAUAAGAAUCGACAAGGACCUAGUGUUAUGAGAAUAGGUCGAACAGGAAUACAUAUGAAACCUAGCUGUUGGAGAACAUAGUCGGAAUAUCGAACCUAGUGUCAGUGAACCUAGUAAUAUAAUAUAUAUAUAUAAGACCUUACGUGUUAGUGAACAUAGGUUGCAAUGAAACCUAGUGUCAGAGGGCCUAAUGAUGAAAAAAGAAAUGGUCAUGAACUUAGUGUUGAUGAAUCUAUUCGCAAAAGACAUCUUGAGAACAUAAGUCAUUAGAGACAUUUGGUUGAUUCGCUGAGGGAUUGAUGACCCUAGUUGACAGGUAAUCCUCGUGUGAGAGAUUGGAUCAUGCUCACGGUCGGUUAAAAUCUGUAGUGAAGCCGCCACACAAGUAAUGGCUUCGGAGUGGCACGUUAGGGACCUGCCAUAUUUGGGGUCCCGGCCCGAGGUCCUCGCGGGUCGUAAGUGGAGUAACCCUCCAACUGGCGAGAUGGCUAGUGAGAGCAAGUAGGCGCGAACGCUCGGGUUAGCCAUGAAUUUGGCUGAUCAAGGCAUAUAAAUUCCGCAUAGAGGUGGAUUUGGCACUCCCGCAGUUGAGUGGUGCUAAGGCUAGGGUCGUCAAUGUGAGGAUACGCGUGACUCCCUUCACCUCGAGCCGGGCUUAUCGCGGCAUUGCCGCGGGAUGGAUUGACGUCGAAGGAGCCGGUCCGGGUGCUAGCGUCAAUCAGGUAAAUGACACCGGUUAAAUUUGUUGGAUCUGAGUAUGAUAACAAAAUAUAAGUAGAACAACAAAAGGUGUUACUUAUGGUGAGGAUAUUUGCAUGAAUUACAUAGCAUUGGUCAUUGUUAGGAAAAUGCGAGGCAAGGUUAUGGUUUAUAAUUGCUGUUAUAUCUAUUUAUACUGUUUUAUUAAGGAGACUGCAGUUCCUCCUUUGAAGCUCUGUCGGACGGCCAUUUUUCCCUUGGUGGGGCCGUACCCACUGAAACUGCCAUGAGUUGGUUCUCACCCCCGUUGUUUUGGGGUUUUCAGGUUCACACGUGAGGGAGCGGGCGGCGGCGCGAGGCAAAAGGGCGUAGCGUCCAAUAGAUAGCGCCCUAACCCAGAGACCGAGAGGUAGCAGUACCAGUGUUGGGGCAGUCUAGCUUCGGGGCGAGUUAAGUUUAGAAUAGAAUGUAUCAAUAUUGUAAAUAAGCAAAAGUGUUGUAAUAUUCUAGAUUUGUAUUUGGAGGGAACUGUACCGUUGCAGGAAUCAGUUAGCAAUUGUGAUGUAUAAAUGAAUGUGCGAGGUGAAAUGAAUGUAAUAACCUUAGGGAUUGUUUUAUGUUGAUUGAUGGANNNNNNNNNNNNNNNNNNNNNNNNNUUGGUCACUAGAGAGGCAGCCCUGCUUGCUGCUCGGAUAGCCGCUUGUUAUCCGCAGGCGUACUCGGGGAUAGUCCAGCUCGACAUCCCUAGGAGAUUGAUAUGUGAGCCUUGCUUGUGAACCACGAGUUCACCUUGAGAUUGGGUUACCCAUUGAGCCAUACCCAUUGUUGUUGUUCAUGAUAGCUUGCUUCCAUAGUUGUUGUUGUUGAUCAUAGUUGCCUUUGGCUUACCGGCUGAUUGGGUGGUCUAGAGAAUAGCCCUAUUGAUGAACCUAGUGGUAUGGUAGUUAACCUUCACUAGACUUACCUUGAUAGCGAGCAUAGUCGCUUGGUAGUUGGUUUAGCGGAUUUGCCUAUAUACAGUGAGUGGGUAUACUAUUCCUUCACCUAUGAGAUUUGAGUACCUAUUGAGUCAUACUCAUUAUUGUUGUUCAUAAUAGCUUGCUUCCAUAAUUGUUGUUAUUCACCUCCUAGAUUUGAGAUCUUAGGCAAGUUAGCCUAGCGGAUUGGGUAAUAACAUGAAUAGCAUAAGAGUAUUGCAUUCAUACCUUGAUUAGACAUAGUGCAUUGCAUAACUAUGUUGUUGUUGUAUUUAUUUCACUGUUGAAGCAUAUUAGCAUGAUAGUAGAUUGUUGCUAGAUGAUGCUCCAUGCAUACUUUGCAUUUGAUGGCAUAGUAGAUAUAGUAGUAGUAUUUCCAUAUAUCUUUCUAUCUAUCUAUCUGUGCCAGCUUGGACCUAGUGGGAAGAUCGGCGGAGUCGGCGGCCGAACCCACUGGGAACUAUAUUUAUAUAGUUCUCACCCCGUGUGGUUGGUAUAGUACAGCAUGAGGAGCGGACCGGCAGAUGAUCGCAGCAGGCUAGCGCCCUACGUGCUAGUUGCGUAGAUGCUUCUCGUAUUGCAGUUAGUUGUCACCCUAUGACUACUUGAGUAGAUGAGCUAUAGGUAGGCUGUUUUGAGAAAAUGUGAAUUAAGUUUAUACUUUGGAUGAAUGUACGCUAAGUUGUAAAUUAAAUGUAUUAUCGAGUGAAUAGUUUAAUAGAAUAGUUACAGUAUUCUCUUUAUAUUUCACUUGUAUGUUUACCUACUGUGACGCCUGCUCUUUAUUGUUCAGCACUCGUUUGUGCUUUAGUCGUUUGUUGUAUGAUUGUGUAUCGUAUUCAGUGUUUUCCUGGGAACUUGUUGUACACGAAUCUCGUCAUUUGAAGGCCCUUGGCAGAAGGGAGAACUCUGUCCGUUCGGCCGGUCCGCCGCGCGCCGAACAUGCCAAAUCGUAGCGGCCGGGGCGUGUGGCUGACCAGUUGUGGUUCAAGAGCGAGUUAGAGAGCAAGACAAUAGAGAGAGUCUAGGACUGACCUACGGAGAACACCUAGGACAGGUGAACCUACAUUAUAGUGGCGUGAGGCGACGUGAACAAUCUAUACGGUGGCGGAGUGAGGAUCGAUUGAUCAAGUUUUGUAAAACCUCUAAGAGGAUACGUUAAGAGGUAGAUUCAGGUGUGGUAUUCUCAGCCAAGUGUGUUUAUGUUGCGCGCGACAACAUAAAACUGAUUGAUGAGAAUAGACGCCCUUGUGUGACUUUCGCCCGAUUGAGUGCGUUGUUUCGCUAUUGAGGCGAAGUUAAUGGGAUAGGUGAUUGGUUGGUGCCGGCUGGUUGCUGACAUUAGACCAAACACAGACUCGUGUUAGAGCGAUUGUUAGUUGCCGAGUACGGCACGUGGGCCUAAUAGAACCUCGAAAUGAGGUGGCGAGUUGUGCUUGUGUUGUCGGUGUGCAUAGGCAGAUUGCCUGAUGCUGGACUUCGUGUGAGACCUGUAGCGGACAUAGAGGCUCGAGUGUAGUAUCGUGAAGUGCGGUUUCGAUUCAGCCGGGAGUGAGUUGGCAAGUAGCACUUCAGCGCUAAGUGUGAAGCGAGGCCAUGAUACUACCGUAGGUGGUGGCUGCACUAGGUGCCUAGAAGCGUUAGAGUGCUGUAGGCUCUGAGAGCAAUGUGUGUAGGACGACGUUGGCCUGGGGUAGUGUUGGGGACGACCGUGCAUUGGACCCUUAUUAGGACUGUGGAGCCUGAGCCCAUUGGGCAGGCACAGUCAGCUGUGAGUGACAGCGCCCCGAUACCUACGGGUAGGGCAGAGAGUUUUGGUCAGGACGGUAGUCCGAGCUUAGAUCUGGGAGCGUGGAAUGCCACGUGUUAGAUCGUGAGAUUGAUGACACCGAGUGUGUAGUGACCCAACCCGAGGACUUGACGUGGUUUGGAGUCUUGGUUGCUCCUGGUUGGAGUGUGUGCGAAUUCUCCAAUGAGAGUGUCGCCCGAUGAUGAUUGGGUCUACGAAGCGAACGAGAGGCGCUAUGCGUAGUUGCGACAGGUUGGGCUGUAAGCCUACGUAGGACUGGUGACCUAUGGUUCACCAAUGAGAUCGAGGUAAACGGUAGGCGGGUGGCCUUAUCGACGAGUUUAAGCUUGAAUUCACGAACAGGAGUUCGUAUGAAUUCGUUGCAAGAGCGAUGUUAGUCGUGGCUGUAGUAUCAAAGGAUAAGGAGAGAAAGUAAAGUGGUCUCUGGGAGACACUUGAGUAAUGAAUAGCCACGUGAGGAUUGAAGCUUGAGGAAAUUGCUCUUCUAUGGAUUGAGAUUCGAGAUGUGCUGAGUGGGCUAUCUCGUGAUGGAACAAGGAUCUAGUCGAGGAUUGAAGCACUCGCGAUUGGUCGAUGCAUCAACGAAAUUGCCUCUGAGCAAUGCCGGUGAUCGAAUCGGAGUGAAAUUUCUCGAUUGGGUGUAUAAUGCAAAGAGCAGUUCCUUACAUGGUGGUAAUACACUUUUGGACUUGCACAUAACAAAUGUGAGCAUAUCCAGUCUCACAUCCUCCGAGGUGGGCCUUUGAACAGUCCAAUAAGUGAAAGGCCACUCCGAGGUGGGAAAGUGCAUUGGAAUUUUCGAUUGCUCGAUAAACCGAGUUGGAGUAUCGAUUGGGUUGAAGUGAGUUAGUUUCGAGGACGAAACUCUUUUAAGGAGGGGAGAAUGUAAGGUACCGGACUUCUAAAAUCAUGAGGUUACGGUGUCCAUUUGGUUGGAGAGCCAUUUGAAUGGUUCCGGUAAGGUUGCGGUGUAAUGUAAUAUACCGGAUUUAAAUAUAAUAAAUAAAAAUAAAUAAAAAUAGUAUGAGAUACUAUUUUUAUUGGAUUUGGAGAAGUGAAAUAUGAG
RNAcentral lists this long non-coding RNA (10920 nucleotides) under Ananas comosus (pineapple). RNAcentral describes it as "long non-coding RNA (ACOM_LNC042028)". Lineage: Eukaryota; Viridiplantae; Streptophyta; Magnoliopsida; Poales; Bromeliaceae. The record is from RNAcentral.